Long non-coding RNA from Athene cunicularia (burrowing owl), 571 nucleotides. RefSeq lists it as uncharacterized. Lineage: Eukaryota; Metazoa; Chordata; Aves; Strigiformes; Strigidae. The transcript has 5 exons. The record is from RefSeq and is a predicted model, not a curated record.
GGCGCACGAAGAGGCGGGAGGUGCAGUGUCCCGGUAUGGAAGGUGAUCGCAGCGUGGGGGAUGUGGCAGCCUCAGCUCGGCAGCGCGGGGCUGGGUGGCUUCAUGUUUUGGGAUUUGCUCAACCCGUGGCCUGCCUGCCAGAUAGACCUAAGGAAUUACUUGUUUAGUGGAAAAGGCUGGGAGUUUAUGAGCCCCUGUCCCUGUUGAAGGAAUUCGAUUUGUUUUCCUUAAGGUCCGAACCGUGGGGAUGCCGUUACAUGGAGCGCGUGUGAGUAGAGCGUGGAGCUGAGGUGAGCCAGUCCCUGGGGGUCUCAGUGCUGCGGUGCAAGACUUAAGUCCCUCCCGGCUUUCUCCAGGAGCAGGAGCUCUGCGCAGCAAGAUCCAGGCUCCUUCCCGAGCCGUGAGCUCCCCCAGGUGGGAACAGCCACUCCAGGUGCUGCUCAAGCUCCUGCUUAAACACAGAAGGGAAGAAAACUCCUUCUGUGGAGUUUCUCAGGAGCAGAGCUUGGGGAGGGGUCCGGAUAUAAAACAUUUUGAUGGUGAAUAAACACAACAGUCACUUGAAAUCCUU